CAGCAGCCGCGGUAAUACGUAGGGUGCAAGCGUUAAUCGGAAUUACUGGGCGUAAAGCGUGCGCAGGCGGUUCUAUAAGACAGAUGUGAAAUCCCCGGACUCAACCUGGGAACUGCAUUUGUGACUGUAGAGCUGGAGUGCGGCAGAGGGGGAUGGAAUUCCGCGUGUAGCAGUGAAAUGCGUAGAUAUGCGGAGGAACACCGAUGGCGAAGGCAAUCCCCUGGGCCUGCACUGACGCUCAUGCACGAAAGCGUGGGGAGCAAACAGGAUUAGAGACCCGCGUAGUCCCUGUCUUUAUACA
Molecule: ribosomal RNA, 301 nt
Filed under: uncultured bacterium
Lineage: Bacteria
Description: partial 16S ribosomal RNA
Rfam family: Bacterial small subunit ribosomal RNA
Source: RNAcentral